Molecule: ribosomal RNA, 1333 nt
Filed under: uncultured bacterium
Lineage: Bacteria
Description: bacterial SSU rRNA
Rfam family: Bacterial small subunit ribosomal RNA
Source: RNAcentral
GACGAACGCUGGCGGCGUGCUUAACACAUGCAAGUCGAACGGAAAGGCCCGCUUGCGGGUACUCGAGUGGCGAACGGGUGAGUAACACGUGGGCAACCUGCCCUCAGCUUUGGGAUAACUCCCGGAAACGGGUGCUAAUACCGGAUAUUGACAUUUCCUCGCAUGGGGGUUUGUUGAAAGUUUUUUCGGCUGGGGAUGGGCCCGCGGCCUAUCAGCUUGUUGGUGGGGUGAUGGCCUACCAAGGUGACGACGGGUAGCCGGCCUGAGAGGGCGAUCGGCCACACUGGAACUGAGACACGGUCCAGACUCCUACGGGAGGCAGCAGUGGGGAAUAUUGCGCAAUGGGCGGAAGCCUGACGCAGCGACGCCGCGUGAGGGAUGAAGGUCUUCGGAUUGUAAACCUCUUUCAGUAGGGACGAAUUUGACGGUACCUGCAGAAGAAGCACCGGCCAACUACGUGCCAGCAGCCGCGGUAAUACGUAGGGUGCGAGCGUUGUCCGGAAUUAUUGGGCGUAAAGAGCUCGUAGGCGGUUCGUCGCGUCGAAUGUGAAAUCCCGGGGCUCAACUCCGGGUCUGCAUUCGAUACGGGCGGACUAGAGUUCGGUAGGGGAGACUGGAAUUCCUGGUGUAGCGGUGAAAUGCGCAGAUAUCAGGAGGAACACCGGUGGCGAAGGCGGGUCUCUGGGCCGAUACUGACGCUGAGGAGCGAAAGCGUGGGGAGCGAACAGGAUUAGAUACCCUGGUAGUCCACGCCGUAAACGGUGGGCGCUAGGUGUGGGGGACUUCCACGUCUUCUGUGCCGCAGCUAACGCAUUAAGCGCCCCGCCUGGGGAGUACGGCCGCAAGGCUAAAACUCAAAGGAAUUGGCGGGGGCCCGCACAAGCGGCGGAGCAUGCUGAUUAAUUCGAUGCAACGCGAAGAACCUUACCAAGGCUUGACAUACAUCGGAAACUUCCAGAAAUGGUUGCCCCGCAAGGUCGGUGUACAGGUGGUGCAUGGUUGUCGUCAGCUCGUGUCGUGAGAUGUUGGGUUAAGUCCCGCAACGAGCGCAACCCUCGUCUUAUGUUGCCAGCACGUUAUGGUGGGGACUCAUAAGAGACUGCCGGGGUCAACUCGGAGGAAGGUGGGGAUGAGGUCAAAUCAUCAUGCCCCUUAUGUCUUGGGCUUCAAGCAUGCUACAAUGGCCGGUACAAAGGGCUGCGAUACCGCGAGGUGGAGCGAAUCCCAAAAAGCCGGUCUCAGUUCGGAUUGGGGUCUGCAACUCGACCCCAUGAAGUCGGAGUCGCUAGUAAUCGCAGAUCAGCAACGCUGCGGUGAAUACGUUCCCGGGCCU